UCAAACUUGGUCAUUUAGAGGAAGUAAAAGUCGUAACAAGGUUUCCGUAGGUGAACCUGCGGAAGGAUCAUUAUCGAGUUUCGGGUCAGAAGUUCUGCUUCUGUUGCCCAAACUUCCUAUCCUCUGUUUAUUUGACCUUUUUUGUUGCUUCGGUAAGUCUGUCUGUUUACAGGCUACCGGGAUUGAACAACAGUUCAUGCUGUUUUCAACCUGGUUCGUUUACUUACCGAUGGCCCAAAAUUUCAAAAAUUCUGAUUUAAACAUGAAAUGUCUCAGUUGUUUUUAAAUUCAAUGAAAACAAAAAACUUUCAACAACGGAUCUCUUGGUUCUGGCAUCGAUGAAGAACGCAGC
RNAcentral lists this unclassified non-coding RNA (352 nucleotides) under uncultured fungus. RNAcentral describes it as "partial contains small subunit ribosomal RNA, internal transcribed spacer 1, and 5.8S ribosomal RNA". The stretch from base 1 to 73 matches the Rfam family "Eukaryotic small subunit ribosomal RNA", at positions 1759 to 1831 of the family's 1831-position model. The record is from RNAcentral. Lineage: Eukaryota; Fungi.